AGACACACUUCCGGCUAAGUACGGGCGUAAUAAUGGUGAUUAAAACUGUUCACCGUUCCUUUGAGUUCCUCGUAGAUUCUGGAUAUUAGUCCUUUGUUGGAGGUAUAGAUUGUGAAGAUUUUCUCCAAUUCAUCGCCGUUUUUUAGAGUUUUUCUCACUAAAUAUUGACUAACGGAACCUAGCCCUGUAAUGUUGAUAGUCGGGCGGGUCGGAAGUGGCUGAGGUGGAGUAUCUGCAGGAGAAGAACUGAGGCUCCUAAGUGCAGCAUCUUGUCCAAGAGGUUUCGUCCCAAUGCGUGGGGAACAUCCGGAUUGUGAUGUUUAGCUCUCAGUUUCUAACUUGGGCAUUCUAGCAACUGUAUUUCUCAUUUAAUGUUUUAUGGGCACACAUGCAGAGGAGUUUUCGUCACUGAAAAGCCCGACAACUUCCCCUGCCAACCCAUUGGAAUUAAAAAAACCUCGAUAACCUCUUAAACACAUGGAAAUGGAACCCUGAGCAGAGGUAAAAGCCUAGCAGUGAUCACUCUUUUGGCGACUUGGAAAUCGGGGUGAGCUUUUAUCCGUUACCUGUGCCCUGUUGUUAGGGGUCGACUGCUGCUGUUCUUCCUUGGAAACUGGCUCCACUGCAUUUCGGGGCUGGGAUGUUGUUAAAGCAUUCACAGCCCUCAGAGCACAUGACGAGGGAGUUGGGAAAUGAAGCAAGCAGGACCUUCCACUUUGUAGCAGACUUAUUUCUGGAGAAACUGAUGGUUGGGGCCACAAAACGCUUUCAGUGUAGGCUCAUCAUGACUCAUUUGGACAUCCUAUUUUCUCUCCUUAUGUAUGAGAUUGUGGUGGGUAUCUGUACAGCCUAAGGACCUUGGGUGGACCUGGCCAGCAAUGGGACUGUUACUGAUGAUGCAUCACAUGGUGUCACUAGGAAAAGCAUAGAUCAGCUGAGGAUCAAUCUUCCCACCAGGUGUGUGUGAAAAUGUAGGUUAUGUGCUUCCUUCAGCCCCAAACCUGUUGUCCACACCAGAAUCUGGAAAUAAUCUCAUUGGAAUUGGGAGAAUGAUUGAUGAUACUCAGUGAAUUGCAUUGCAACUAUUCAUUGAUUCAUUCAUCUAUCCAGUUCAAAAUAUCAAGAAACAGAGAAGUGAGAGGAACAAGAGAGCUUCUGUUCUAGUAACAUUUGUCAAAAGGAGGAAAAAACCUCUAUUUCAGAUUGCUUUCAUAUACAGCCAUGAGAUGCAUGAUUUUUCAUAGAUCAAAAGAGGAGACAAAAUGCAGACUUUGUCAUCUGUUGGACAGAAUGUUCUGAUUACUAUGGAUGGGGCUUCAGGAGUUAAUGGCAAAAGAAAUGAGUCUUCCGUGGCGUGCUUCAGUCCCCAAACCACUCUCUCAUUUGACUAUGAGGUUUGCUGGAAUGAGACCAUUCACAGAGGAAGGGGGGACAUCAGGGAGAUGGGAAAUUGGCCACCUGCAAGAAACGAGUCCCUUGCACAAAGCCCAGUGUAGCAACAACGGACUCAACGAAGGAAGCCAGCCAUCCAACGGAGAAAGACCAGCUAGCGAAGGCAGACGACGCUCAUCUUCUGUAAAUAGCAAGGCUUAAGAAAAAUAGUCAAUGAGCGCGCUCCCUUUUUGUUUGGCUUUGGUACCAUUGACUAGUUGUCUGAAAGUAACCGAUUGUAUGGAAUGGAACGAGUGGGAACCCAGCCAGUACCCCGAGCCAAGAAGUCCAGGCAAGUUAUCAAGAAGAGGCUUUUCUUUUUCUCCUCCUCCCCCUCAUUUCUCUUUUUCCUUCUUCUUUUUUAAAUUCAAGAACAUUUUAUUUAAAAUGAAAUUCCCUUAAAGUUGUGCAUUGUCUUUUAUUUAAAGAUGUAGUAUCUCUGAGAAUAAAGAAAGGAAGAGAGGAAAUUAAAAAGCAAUGAGAGAAGACGUCUGGCAGCUUGGCCUCUCACCAAGUGACCUUUUGAUAGACCACAUGGGACUCAGAACUAUAUGAGCCUACCAAGGAAGUGAACAAUUUAUGGUGCCUUGUUUGGGCUUUUGAUAAGUAUCUCUGUAAAGUGAUGCAAGGAAAAACAACCCGGGACCUACUAUAAUUGCAGAAUUCCUUUAAAUUAUUUUAAGAUGAGAGAGGCCAUCAGGACUAGAGAGAAAUAGCCCCCAGGCUCAGGAUAUUUAUGUGUAUUUCAUUUAAAAAAUCGGUGCCACAAUGUCCCAAUGAUCAUUAAGCAACCUGUCUGGGUGUCCUUCAAAAGCUGGAGGAUUUGUUCCCUGAGGAGGAUGAGACAGUUAUUCAUAAGGCAGGAUCUGAGCACCAUGGGGCCACGUCCCAUGCAUGAAACAUGAGAAUUCCUGGAAACCACUGGAAUCACCUGGGUUCAUUCUGAGUUGCUUCCUUUGGAAAAUCUUUUGGAAGAACAUGAAGGGGUGUUUUUUACGUUCCCUUACUAAAUGCUAAAGUGUGAUAUGGUAAAAUUUGCUGGUUCACUGAGUGAAGCAUCAGGCAUUGGCUGAAAUCUGGUGUCAAAACAUAGGAGAUCUUCCUGCUACUUGUAUUUAGUGGGACACUUCUAUACCUCCUACAGUGCACAGGACAGCCCCCUACAGUGGAGAAUUAUCCAGCUAUCCAGCUUCAAAUGUCAAUCGUGCCAAGGUUGAAGACCCUGAUUUAGGGGCUUCUUUGCAAAUCAUUGAUCUUACCAUCAAGGACUUAAUAUUCCAGAUUGCUGAGAGCAUUCUGUUUUUGAAAUAUCUCUAUUGGAUCAUUUGAGAAGCCCUGGUUAACUCCCAUAUUUAAGGAGAUCUCACAGGAGUUGUUUUAGAACAAGAUUACUUUUGUUCUAUGGCCAAAGGCUUCCUUUCCAGAAAGCUACACCCAAAUUUAAACCACUUGCUCAGCCAAGGCUUCAGAAAAUCUAUCAUCUGGUAGAAAAGCAGAGUUGUCUUUUUAUCCCAGGUACAAGGAUUCUUAUUACAAACGACCACCUAUUGUGACACUAAUAGCAUUGCUGAGGUGGUAACUUUCUAUUUUAAAGUGUUAAGGCUGCAAGUCUACUAAGACCAUUAUAAAGACAUGAUCAUCUGGAAACAUCUGCAAGAAAAUCUACCAAAAUGAAGACACACUCACAAAAUGACCUUCCUCCUACAUCCCAGCUCUUGUCAUCUUAAAGGCAUUCACUCCAUGGAGGCCCCAGGAGGCGAAUGGCUUCUCUCAUCUUGGGCUGCAGCUUUGCUGAUGACUUCUGGCUCCUCAUGGAAAACAGAAGUGCAGGGCAUGCUUUUCCAUUAAGCUCUUUCUGCUAAAGCAGAUUCGAAGUUAAGAGAAGCAGGCACUGCUCAUUCUUGUCCAACAUUCAUGGACAAAGAACUCUGGGCUUCAGUCUUGUCAACCCUCGUGCAGGGCUCUGCUCAUUAGCAGGAAUCUUCAGAUGACUCAUAUUCCUGGGCAUUUGAUCUUUUGUGAUAAGAAGAACCAGCCUGGCUCACUGACUGGUAUGGUGUGGCAUGGUUCCUGGCAAUGGUGUCUUUGGAGACUGAUGAAAUUCUUUUAAGAUUGAUAUCUCCAUUAUGACAUAUUGAGCAUUGUGUGUUUGGGUUGUGUUAAGGAACUACUACCACCCGAACACUCUGGUCUUCCUCUCUCCUUUUUUCUUUUAGGCACAUUAUGUGUGGAGAUGUGUUCUUAUUGGCAAAGGAUACAAUAUUCACUGAUAAGGAAAAGUAAACUAUGCUAAUAACAUGCAGAAUUUAAAGGAAAUCCCCAAACCUGAAGUUUUCCCAAAUCUUUGGGCUUCCUUAGCCCUGUAAGUGGAUCAAACAGCUGGGGAGUUUUCUUUUUUAAUUUUUAUUUUUAUCACAGAUCAUCUACCAUGAGCAAUUUCUCUGGAAGUUGAUGUGUCAAUGACUAUCUCAUCUUUGUUGAAGUGAAGUUUUUGGUCCUGAAGCUGGCUGACUCUCAGCUUCCUGGACAGGCCCUUUUCUGGGCACACCGGGACAUUGGGCAUUUGUUGGAGUUUUCCAAUGUCUGUAGCUCCAGGUGUUCAGCAAGAGGCAUGGCACUGUGAAGUCACCAUAGUGUUUACGGAGAAGCACAAUAGGGGGCACCCUCCAUAAAUCUGGUUGAGGGAAAAGCAUUACAAGUUGGAUGAAAUAAGAAUACAAGAAACAGUAUUUGUAGAGUGUAUAUGACUGUGUGUCAAGUGAAGGGAAGACAGAAGAAAUGCUGUAAGUUACUAAGAGGGAGAAAUGACUAAGGACUGCAGUUGUCAUGGCAGGCUUCCUGAAGGUGGUGGAUGUGGGCUGAUGUCUGAAGAAAGUUACCAUUUACUGAGAUCUCACAGUGAGCCAGGCCCUGUUCUAAAUAUUAAUGUGGAUAUUUUGUUUAAGUCUCAUCAUUUUUCAAGAGUGAACACUUCAGUGGUCUGUAGUCCCUCAGUUGCACUGGACACAGUUGAGGCCCUCAGGAGCCACGCGGGGUCAGCGGUGGUGGCAUUGGGCAGAGCAGGUGUAGUGAUUUGGAGAGGGGACAGGCUCAGCAUCAGUAUUUCUGCUGCAUCCCUCUGUAAACAUCUCAUGAAGUGGCUGAUUUGUGAGAAGAGGAUCAUCUACCUCCUGCAUUCAAUCUCAUGAGUAGUUGGGAAGAACAGAUGAAGUGAGGCUGUGAAGCACUGUUGCAAUCUAAGGCACUGCUUAGACAUUGGUUGAGGCUCUAACCCAUGGUCUCCCUGGAGUGGUGACUCCUGUGGUCUCCGGGGACCUUUCUCCUUCUGUGUGUGCAGCUCCAGCCAGGGUGUUUGAAGGUAGAACAUUCUUUAGGAUACAGAAUAAUGAAGCCUCAGGGUUCAUUUCAGACUUCCUAGCAGGCUGGAUAGGGGGUGUCGUUCUUGGGAAGUUCCUCCUGGCGUCUCUGAAAUCAUUCAGAAAAAGGUUGUCCAGGUGCCUCCAGUGGGUGUUCUUGGCUGAUGUUUGUCCUGCGUUCCUCUGACUGCUAGGCUUAAGCGUCUUCAACUCAGAGUUCAAUUCCUCACAUGCUGGAAGGCAGGACAGCGAGCACUCUGGGAGGUCCACCAAGCACUUUGUGCUCCAUUCCCUGCACUGUCUGCUCAGGAAACCUCCUCACGCAACCAUCUGAGGCCUGGUCCUUAAAGUGGAACCUGUCACGCUGGAGCUGAGUGUUGCCUCGGUCCACACAGCAUCUUGGAGACAUUUAUGGUUUCUGCUCUGAGUGUCUCUUGAUGGAAUUGUUAGUGGCUGCUGCAAUGCAGAUAAUAUGGAAAACUAUUGUGGUAACUGUGGCUAUUGGCAUGGUGGCUUUCCACCUGGGAUCCCUGGAGUCUUGGCGCCUGGCAGGGGCAGCACUGGGAGGAGGAGGAGACUGAGCUGGUGAGGACCUGAGCCAUUGAUCCCUUCUCUCCUACCCCCUAUGUGCCCUUAAUCCAAAGCAGUUUUUAACCUCCCUGCCUUUUGUAAAUGAUAAAGUUUUGGAUAAGAUGUUAUUUAAAGAAAUAUUUUGAUGCCAAGACAUGUUGAAAGUCCCUGCAGUGGGGAAGUCAGGAAAAGUUGGUAUAAUGCUGGGUUAUUAACCUUCUUUGGUGCAAGACCUUUUUUUGAGAUGUGAUGAAACUGUUUCUCCAAAAAAAGCUCAUACCCCACAAUAUUGCAUCAGGAUUGCUGAGGCCAUCUGUGCAUGUGGCCCACACCCCUGGUUAGGGAUCCCUUGUCAAUUGGGAAGAUUAUGGGUUGUGGAUACAGACAGAUAGAGAUUUAACCCUGCCUCAGACUUCACUCACUUUUUAACCUCAGGGUAUCUUAGUAAACCUCUUUACAUUCCAGUUUGUUGUCUGUAAAACAGGGACAAUUAUGUAUUUUUGUGAAGAUGAGAGAACUUCAAAUGUCAAAUCACAUGGUAGGUGUUAAGUAAAUUGUAACUACUAAAAGGCAGUAAAGUGAUGAUUAAACAUUUAUUAAUACUUCACAUAUGGUAAACCCAUACCAUCUUAUUAAAUCCUCACAAUAAAUAUGGAAGGUAAGUGUUUUUACCCUUUCUUUACAGAGAGGGUAAACUGACAGAUGGGAAACUGAGGCCUGGAGAGAUUUCGUCUCCUGCUCAACAUUGUCACAACUUGUCAGAGAUGGAGCCUGAGCAAAAUCCCAGGUCUGCCUGAUUCUGAAGCCUGGACUUUUACAGAACACUGCCUCUGACCAUGGCUAUGCUGGCAUUCAGCAAGUAGGAACAUCAGGAGCACUGAGGCUGUCACUAAUGGUCCUGUCCCAGCCCCUCCACUGUGAAGCUGAGACCUUUCACAGGAACCAAAAAGGGAUUGAUGCUGUGGAGAUGGGACACUGAUACUCGCAGGUAUGCACACUGCUGGGCAGGUCCACAUGACCGAUACGUGCCAGAAGCCAACUGGAACAAAGCUGUGAAAUGGGAGCAUUUCUGAGAAAGAGAAUAGCAGCCCCUCCCUGGUGCCAGCCCAGCCCACACAGCUGGGCCUGGCAUUCUCCCUAACACAACACAUCGCUGAAGAGCAACACCAGACAAGCCACUCAUGACCCAAUGCAGCAAGACAGACAGACACCGGGUGACUGUGUCUGGACACAGAAAACAUGCCAUGGUCUAGCCACCAAUCACAGACACUGGGUGACCGUGUCUGGACACAUAUGGGACACACCUCGGCCCAACCACCGAACGAUUCCCUGUUAUGCCUACUAGGAAUGACAGCUGCUUCUUUACCUGCAUUUUCUUUAAGCACCUGUGCCAGGUGGUUUCACUCCUGAGCCUCCAGCAUGGUGUGUCAGGAAUACUUCUGUCCAAGAGUCAGGGCUGCUUGUUCAAACCUUUGCUUGGCCAUUAAUUCCCUGAAAGCUCUUGGAUAAGUCAUGUCUUGGUCUGUUUUCUGUAGCUAUAACAGAAGAUCUGAGACUAGGUAAUUUAUGAAGAAAAAGGCUUAGCUCACAGUUCUGGAGGCUGUGAAGUUCAAGAUCAGGUGGCUGCAUCUGGCAAGGGCUUCGUGUGCAUUGCAACAUGGUGGAUGACAUUACUUGGCAAGAGCACAUGUGAGAGAGGUGAGCAGGUGUAUGCAAAGAGACAAAACGCAAGGGGUGGCCUUGCUCUGUGACCUCCUGCUCUCCAGAUAGCUCAUCCAGUCCUGCAAGAGUGAGAGUUCACUCUGGAGAAAGAGCAUUAAUCCCGCUAUGAGGGCAGAGCCAGCCCUCUGCUGCAAAUGCCUCUUCAAUGUCCCACCAUCGGUCAGCACUGUUGCAUUGGGGGUUUCAAUUGGUCUCAGUUUCAAUGUUAAGGCAUGGUUGAAACAAGUGAGCUCUGAGGCCCUGUGACUCAGUGAGAGAGGACGCGAUGGGAAAGGGAAGGAGCCUGGAGGCCACAGGGACAUGGCCUCAGGGAGGCAGGCCCUCUGGUCAAUGUGAAGAGAACACAAGGCGCCCACAAACCACCUGCCGGUGGAAGGCUCCCAGACGCUGAGCAGGGUGCAAGGUGUCAGGACUUUUGGCCUGCUGGCAUGUGCCUGUCAGGGAGGGUGGGUGCACCUGGCCUAGCUGUACUUGGAGAAAGAAGCAGGCUGGGUUCCACGGCUCGUGAUCCAACAACCCCGGCCACUUUAUAGGCCCUGAAGGAGAUAUGAAAGCCCAGAUGCUGUUUUUAUGGGUUUCUGCUGUUGUUGUUUGUGUUUCAUGAAAUGUUUUAAUUGUUUGGUUUUUUAUGCAAUGUAUCCUGAGGCUUUUAAAAUUAUUUCACAAAGAGUACGUGUAGCACUGAAUGUGAAACAGACUCAUUUACAAAUUGUAGGCCGACCACAUUAGAGAAGGUGAAAGCUGCGAGCAUUGCUCUCUGCUGCCUUCGGGCUGCUGCACUAAAUAGCAGGUCACCGGCCUCGCCGGUGCUGGGGAAGGAGCACAUGAAAGGUAGGAAUGUGCUUCUCCCCAACCGAGCCUCCUCACCAGUUGUCUCUGAAUUUCUCUACUGGUUGGAAAGCAAUUUUCUUAUUAGAGAAAAAGAAAAGAAACAAAGUCAUGGUGGCCCCACCAACCUUAUCUCUUCACUCUGGAAAUUAAUAGCAAAGAUGUGCAGCAGCCACGCUGGCAGAGAGAACCACACCCCAGACCGUCCAGCAAAGCCAGGCAUGGGGAAGCGUGUCAGCAUCCGAUAAACCUGGUUGGAAACUUCUCAGUUUAAACCGCUUCAGAGACUAGCUUGAUUUUCCCACCUGAUUCUGUCAUGUUUUCUGGAUGCAUGGUCUCCUGGGACACUCCUGCCAUGAAAGAACCAGGAGGCUCUCCACUGGACAGUCACCUUAGGAAUGGGAUAGUCACAUGUGAAAUCUUGACCUGUAUAGAUGCCCCUUAUUGAUAAGAAGCUCUUUAGUUACCACAUUUUGCAAGGGUGGCAGGUUUGCCCUGUUUGAUGGCUUGCACAAGGGCCCUGAAACACCAAAUCCACAUGUGUACCACCAUUCUGCAUAUGGACUGAAUUUGGCAAAACUCAUGGUGAAUUGUCUAAGAGCCUGGACUGACUUGCUUGUUUCUUUAUUUUUUUGAGACUGAUUCUCUCUCUAUCACCCAGGCUAAAGUGCAGUGGCACAAUCUCGGCUCACUGCAACCUCCACCUUGGGUUCAAGCAAUUCUUGUGCCUCAGCCUCCCGAGUAGCUGGGAUUACAGGCACCUGCCACCACGCCCAGCUAAUUUUUGUAUUUUUAGUAGAGAAGGGGUUUCAGCAUGUUGGCCAGGCUAGUCUCGAACUCCUGACCUCAAGUAAUCCGCCCACCUCAGUCCCCCAAAGUGCUGGGAUUACAGGUGUGAGCUACUGCGCCUGGCCAGAUUUGCUUGUUUCUGAGCCAAGGUUACCGCGCUGGCUUUGAGUCACAUUUGAUUGUUAUCCCCUGGGUGCCUAUUAAACACACCGGUUCCUGUGUCCUACUCAAGACCAACUCAAACAGAAUCUUCAGGGUACAUACCUGGGGAGCUGGAUGUUUAACAAGCACCCCAGAAUUCUUCUCAUGGGGGAAGUGUGGGAAACCUGGGACUUGCUUCAGAGACCAGCGACCUCGCUCUGUGGGCAGAGUGGAGAGCAUCCUGGGACACUUGGCUCAUGGCCUCAGCUUUGGAAAUGGAUGAGCUAGGGUUAAGACCUUCCCUUGGGAGGGCUCAGAACUCAGCGAGCUGUGCCUUAGGAUAUGAGGCUGCUGUUGGGCUCAACCUGGAACAAGUACAGGUGCUGGCUUAGCUUGAUGGGUAAGAACAGGAUUUGCAGAUGGGGGGCUCCCUGUCUUGUUAGCAUUUUCAGUCUUUUGGCCAUGUCAGUAAGCUCAGGACAGGGCAAGGGCUUCUGGAAGACAAAGGAGGACAGUGAGAUUGGGCUGUUCUAUAACAUUUAUUCAGGUCUCUGGCAGAAGCCCCGUGGAACCUCAGCCGGACAGGAGGUGACGCUUCUCCAGAUGACAGUUCUUGUGCCAGCGUCUCAGGUCUGCUCCAGGCUGACGGGUGCUCCGUGCACACAGCAGACCCUGCCGGAAGCUGCAAGUUUGGGAAUCGCAGUAAGGGGUGGUGAGCUGUUCUUUGGUUGUGCGAUCACGUUUACCAGUAGUCUGGCCAGGCCUCUGGCUCAUGGUUAGCGUUUUCAUUUAUAAAAUGCCCGCCUCCCUCCCAGAGAAAGUGAGAGAAGUCAUUCACAAAAUGAUUUUAAACUGCUUUCCAAGGAGCGGCCACUGUGGAAUUGCUUCAUAGUAGUGAAAGUUUUCACUUGAGUGGGUAUUGAAAACAACGGGUUGACCUUCCAGAAAAGGAAAACACUCCUAAUUUACUACAAAUAGAAACAAAUACGUUGUUAGUUUGUAGUUGUCAGGUCACUUGCUUGCAGCAGGACCAAGACUGACACCAUGAAAUAGCCAUUAAUUCAUCUCACCAACUGCUCAGGUUCAGCCAAGUUUGGAAUAAUUUCUUCCAGAUGCCUUGCUACCACCACCCAACAUUGAAGUGGGCAUAGCUGUGCCCGCCACCCAACGUUCUGAACCAUGGGCUUGACAUAAACUGGGCAUAGCUGUGCCUGUCCCUUACUUAGCUCUACAAUAAGAAACUCUUUAGUUACCACAUUUUGCAAGGGUCCUACCUGGAGCCAUCAUCCAUGGAAUGGUUACAUUGGGAGAAUGUAUAGGAAGCCAGUGUUUUCUAAGUUAGAAUUAAUUACCAUGCUUGUCCUUGGACAGACGGGAGGCCCGGUCAUUUCUCACUUUUGUGUAUCACCUUGCAAAGUACCCUCCAUCGCCUGCUUGGGGCCACCUAAUAACUCCAUAAACUGUGCAGGUAUUAUUGCCUCCAUCUUACAGAUGACAAAACUAAGGCCAGAAUGUCAAAUAACUAGGUAAACAAUACAGGAUUCUAAAUGUGGGGGCAUGACUUGAGCCUCCAGAGCCUGAGUCUAAGCCAGAGUGUUUCCACCAAACUGUGCCAUCUUCAUACACUGAUUUCUCUAGGUAUUUGGCCAGGUAUUUUUCUGGCCAACAAAUGAAAAUUAAUGUAGUCUCUGAGAGAGGGACUAUGGUAAGGAACUAAAUGGUCUUGCCUGGCUUCUUUAGGCUUAAAUCUUUUACUAGAAGGAAUAUGUUUUAUUAUUUGUUAUUGUCAAAAUGAUAAAUAAAAGUGCUCGAUUGCAAUGAACGUCAGUAAGUAACUGACUUGACGUUGUAUAAUUAUUAAAUGUUUAAAAUAUGUUAGUGGCAAUAGUGACACUGAUAAUAUUGAUGUGUCGUGUUUUGAAGGCACUCACUUUAAUGUUUAUAUAUCCCCAAUACAUAAUGAAUUAAGUAAGCAAGCGUCGGGUCCUAAGCAUUUUUCUAAUUUAUAUGAUUAGUAAAGAAGUACUCUGCUAAAUGGGAUAAAGUGCUAGUUUAGAAUUAUGGGAUUUCAGACUUUUCUCUGUAACUACUUGCCCUAUUGUGUCGAGUCUUACUCUUUUGUUCUAGAUGACUUUCUUUAUUCAUAAAAUGGUAGUCAGGCCUUUGUAUACUGCCAAAAAUAUGUCUACCCCACACUUAGAUUUAUUCCAAAGAAUAAUUGCACAUAGAUUGUGCACCUAUUAUAAUUACUGAUGUUUAUCCAGCACACCUAAUUUUGCCUUUGUCCCGGCUUGUUGAGGACACUGUUGCCUUAACCAGUGCAUCUUCAAGAGGAACCUUGUGGCUUCUGCCAUGACCAGACAUGGGUUUCUUGGUCUUCACAUGUGAGCGCUGCAGUCUCAGGGUUGCCAGGAUGCUUCCGAGGAUGCCAUCUUCUAUUUUUUAGUGGUUACAUUUUUCAAAAUAUAGACUGAGAUGCUGUUUCCCAUUUUGGGGGUGGCUGGCCUCCUUAUUCCUGGGAUGUGCAUGGUAAAGUGAGUUUCUGAAUGGGUCUAUGAGCUUCUUCCCCAGCCAGAGUUAAUUUAGACACCACCUCUCCCUUCUAAACAGAGCCAGGGCCCAUAUACAAGUCAAAUCUGCUAUUUUUCUUUGGGCAAUGAUUUAUUUCCCUCUUAAAUUGGCUGGACCAGUUAGUUUUUUAUUUUUAUUAAGUCACACUAUUCUUAAAUGAAACUAUUGAUUUAAAGUCAGCUUAGUGAGGAUUUAAUUUGUUUUCAGGGGAUUAGAGCAGGUAGCAUGGGAUAAUUUUACAAUGAAGUGGAGCAGAAGCAUUCCUUCACAGUGCCUCGCCUUUUUUUUUUCUUGCCAGGCUGCACAGACAUUACAAAUUUUCAAGUAAAUUGUGGAAAUACAUUCAUAAAUCAGUCCUAAUUCGUCUGCCUGCUUAAGGGUGAUUCAAAGGGGAGUUCAUUCCUGACCUUGUCUCAUGUCCUUCUGAUAGGCCACGUGUCUAGGGCUAAAACACGUGUACCUGUGCAUGUACACGAACACACACACACACACACAUACACAUACACACACCAGAUUCCUUUCCUCCUUUCCUCUCUAAGGUCCAUGUAAAAUUCUUUUUCGUCGCCUUUCCUCCCUUCAUACAGUAUUGCCUCUGUUCACACAAUGGUUUCUUUCCCUAGCAUGUGGAAGGGGUGAAGGGCGCAGGGCCUGUGGGGACUGCCUAGCUUGUGUCCCCUUCGGGUCCCCCUGGUUUCUCUGCACCCAGUGCACCCUCUCCCUGCUUUCCCCCAUGCUCCAGUAUCCUCUCUCCUGGUCGGGAUCCCUCUGACCUUCCAGGAAGUUGGGUGGCAGGUCUGGGCGCCAAUGGAGGGAGGGCAGGUGGGGAAGUGAAUGUGAUCAACUCUCAUGAUGGUUUAAAAAUCAACAGAGUGAAACUGUCCAAACACAGCUAGGGAAGGUUUUCUGUUGUUUGUUUUAAAAAGUAGAGUCUUGUCAUUGCCAGUCUGUUAUCUCUGAGCUUGGCUGUCACUAUCCAUUUCAAAAGGAGCCGUUUCUUUCUAUUGAAAUCAAAUAGAGUCAGAGCCAUUUUCAGAUUAAUGGUCCUUGGUCUAGAGGUUUCAAAACCAUUUUGGUCAAUCAUUCUGAGUGUCUCCAUUGUCCACAACCCCCUCCCACUGGGGUAGCUGGGGCCGAGUCUUGCCAAGCAUCAGGUGACUAAGUCCAUCUGGAGAAUCCGCCACUGCCAAAGGGGCUGGACUAGCAUCCCACCUACUGGGCUCCCCACCAGCAGCAACACAGGGGUCCACUGCCUUUCGUUUCACAAAUAAGUCUUGACUUCCUGAACAGUCGGCUUCAUGCCUCAUGCACUGGAACUGGAAGGCAGGGCAGGCUUUUCUCUGGGACCCGGGGUGUCACUGGGAUUCCUCUGCUAAACAGCUGUGAGUGUGGGGGAUGAAGGGAGACAGGGUGUAGGUAGCAGAUACAUCAGGUGUUUCUUGGGAUUUGGACUUUCUUCUUCCUUCCUUCCUUCCUGCCUUCCUUCCUUCCUUCCUUCAUUCCUUCCUCCCUCCCUCCCUCUCUCUCUCCCUCCCUCCCUCCCUCCCUCUCUCUCUCUCUCUUUCUUUCUUUUUUUCAAGGAGUUGCAUUCUGAUUGCCCAGGCUGGAGUGCAAUGGUGUGAUCUUGGCUCACUGCAACCUCUGCCCUCUGCCUCCCAAGUUCAAGUGAUUCUCCUGCCUCAGCCUCCCGAGUAGCUGAGAUUACAGGCAUGUGCCACCAUGCCCAACUAAUUUUGUAUUUUUAGUAGGGAUGGAAUUUCUCCAUGUUGAUCAGGCUGGUCUUUAACUCCCAACCUCAGGUGAUCCACCCACCUCAGCUUCCUGAAGUGCUGGGAUUAUAGGUGUGAGCUACUGUGCCCGGUGGGAUUUGGGCUUUCCAUAGCACUCAGUUUGAUUGCGGAGAGCAGGUGAAUUGCCAAGACCUGCCUGUGGCCAUGGAGUGCAGCAGCAGGUGUGUGUGGCCGGCCAGCCUGUGGGACCAGAAGGAGACUUGAGGAUGGGGUCACGAAUGCUCCACUGCAUGGAGGAUGGGUGAGCUCAGGUCUGCCUGUUCUUGGUGUGAACGACUCACAAGAAGACUUGCCUAGAGAAAUUCAAGGGACCAACCAUACCACAAGAGAAUACAAAUGGCACAGAGCAGUAGGCAUCAUGGCAUGAGGUACCGGAACUGUGCAAGGAUUACACAAGCAUUAAAAAUGCAGAAUGGAUUGCAAGAAAAAUGCCAUAUAUUUUCUGAGUAGUCAGAGGAAAGUGUGUACGUAAAGGUGUCACGAGAAGCAUAGUGAAACUGAACUGAAAUGUUAAGAGUAACAACACAGGAAAGAUCAGCAGCAGCAGAGAUGGGAGACAUACAGGAGAAAGGCCGGAGAACUCUGAGCCAGCACCAGCACGGUUCCAGGGAAUUCCAGUGAGGGAAGGCGAGGCCAGGGUUGGUAAGUACAAAGAGGAAACCCAGAUAGUCAUAACAAGAAAAUUGGGCAUCUACCCACCUGUGUUUCAAACAAGACAUCAACACUUUAAUUGAGGAGGAUCUUGUAAGCUGAACCCUUCAAAAAAAAAGAGCAAUAAAAAUAAAAAUAAAUCCUUAUAAUAUAUGUCAAUGAGAUAUAUAUGUACAUAAGAAUUGUUCAUUAAAUAAGUUUAUGGAUCACUGGUA
This is a long non-coding RNA of Homo sapiens (human), 14061 nucleotides long. RefSeq lists it as uncharacterized. Lineage: Eukaryota; Metazoa; Chordata; Mammalia; Primates; Hominidae. The record is from RefSeq and is a predicted model, not a curated record. The transcript has 4 exons.